UACAGAGGUGGCAAGCGUUGUUCGGAAUUACUGGGCGUAAAGGGCGCGUAGGCGGCCUUGUAAGUCCCGUGUGAAAGCCCCCGGCUCAACUGGGGAAUUGCACGGGAAACUGCGGGGCUUGAGUUCGGGAGAGGGAAGCGGAAUUCCGGGUGUAGCGGUGAAAUGCGUAGAUAUCCGGAGGAACACCAGUGGCGAAGGCGGCUUCCUGGACCGACACUGACGCUGAGGCGCGAAAGCUAGGGGAGCAAACGGG
RNAcentral lists this ribosomal RNA (253 nucleotides) under uncultured bacterium. RNAcentral's name for it is "partial 16S ribosomal RNA". It matches the Rfam family "Bacterial small subunit ribosomal RNA", at positions 524 to 776 of the family's 1533-position model. RNAcentral also lists the same sequence under 1 other name. The record is from RNAcentral.